This is a non-coding RNA of Potamilus streckersoni, 72 nucleotides long. NCBI's taxonomy places the organism in Eukaryota, Metazoa, Mollusca, Bivalvia, Unionida, Unionidae. The record is from the annotation of a GenBank genome assembly.
GCUCCAGUGGCCCAGUGGUUAGAGCGUCCGCCUCGGAUGCGGGAGGUCGUGGGUACGAACAACGUCCGAGUU